Molecule: transfer RNA, 73 nt
Filed under: Bos taurus (domestic cattle)
Lineage: Eukaryota; Metazoa; Chordata; Mammalia; Artiodactyla; Bovidae
Also listed under: 5 other names
Rfam family: tRNA
About the family: Transfer RNA (tRNA) molecules are approximately 80 nucleotides in length. Their secondary structure includes four short double-helical elements and three loops (D, anti-codon, and T loops).
Source: Rfam by way of RNAcentral
UCCCUGGUGGUCCAGUGACUGAGACUCCGCAUUCCCAAUGCUGGGGACCUAGGUUCAAUCCCUGGUCAGGGAA